GACGAACGCUGGCGGCGUGCCUAAUACAUGCAAGUUGAGCGAUGAAGAUUGGUGCUUGCACCAAUUUGAAGAGCAGCGAACGGGUGAGUAACGCGUGGGGAAUCUGCCUUUGAGCGGGGGACAACAUUUGGAAACGAAUGCUAAUACCGCAUAAUAACUUUAAACAUAAGUUUUAAGUUUGAAAGAUGCAAUUGCAUCACUCAAAGAUGAUCCCGCGUUGUAUUAGCUAGUUGGUGAGGUAAAGGCUCACCAAGGCGAUGAUACAUAGCCGACCUGAGAGGGUGAUCGCCCACAUUGGGACUGAGACACGGCCCAAACUCCUACGGGAGGCAGCAGUAGGGAAUCUUCGGCAAUGGACGAAAGUCUGACCGAGCAACGCCGCGUGAGUGAAGAAGGUUUUCGGAUCGUAAAACUCUGUUGGUAGAGAAGAACGUUGGUGAGAGUGGAAAGCUCAUCAAGUGACGGUAACUACCCAGAAAGGGACGGCUAACUACGUG
RNAcentral lists this ribosomal RNA (497 nucleotides) under uncultured bacterium. RNAcentral's name for it is "partial 16S ribosomal RNA". It matches the Rfam family "Bacterial small subunit ribosomal RNA", at positions 28 to 507 of the family's 1533-position model. The record is from RNAcentral.